This 253-nucleotide ribosomal RNA is filed under the name uncultured bacterium. Its description in RNAcentral is "partial 16S ribosomal RNA". It matches the Rfam family "Bacterial small subunit ribosomal RNA", at positions 524 to 776 of the family's 1533-position model. The record is from RNAcentral.
UACAGAGGGGGCAAGCGUUGUUCGGAAUUACUGGGCGUAAAGGGCGCGUAGGCGGCCUGUUAAGUCGAACGUGAAAUCCCCGGGCUCAACCCGGGAACUGCGUCCGAUACUGGCAGGCUUGAAUUCGGGAGAGGGAUGCGGAAUUCCAGGUGUAGCGGUGAAAUGCGUAGAUAUCUGGAGGAACACCUGAGGUGAAGACGGGUUGCUGGGCUGACACUGACGCUGAGGCGCGAAAGCUAGGGUAGCAAACGGG